UACGUAGGGGGCAAGCGUUAUCCGGAUUUACUGGGUGUAAAGGGGGCGCAGACGGCAGCGCAAGCCAGGAGUGAAAGCCCGGGGCCCAACCCCGGGACUGCUCUUGGAACUGCGCGGCUGGAGUGCAGGAGGGGCAGGCGGAAUUCCUGGUGUAGCGGUGAAAUGCGUAGAUAUCAGGAGGAACACCAGUGGCGAAGGCGGCCUGCUGGACUGCGACUGACGUUGAGGCCCGAAAGCGUGGGGAGCAAACAGG
RNAcentral lists this ribosomal RNA (253 nucleotides) under uncultured bacterium. Its description in RNAcentral is "partial 16S ribosomal RNA". It matches the Rfam family "Bacterial small subunit ribosomal RNA", at positions 524 to 776 of the family's 1533-position model. The record is from RNAcentral.